ACCAGACUUGCAGUAGGUGAGUGAUGGGGUGACGCAGGAAGGUAGUCCAUCCCGGGCGGUGGUUGUCCCGGGGUAAGGGUGUAGGCCGUGCGAUAGGUAAAUCCGUCGCACAUGAGGCUGAGACCUGAUGCCGAGCCGAUUGUGGUGAAGUGGAUGAUCCUAUGCUGUCGAGAAAAGCCUCUAGCGAGUUUCAUGGCGGCCCGUACCCUAAACCGACUCAGGUGGUCAGGUAGAGAAUACCGAGGCGUUCGGGUGAACUAUGGUUAAGGAACUCGGCAAAAUGCCCCCGUAACUUCGGGAGAAGGGGGGCCAUCACUGGUGAUCCGAUUUACUCGGUGAGCUGGGGGUGGCCGCAGAGACCAGCGAGAAGCGACUGUUUACUAAAAACACAGGUCCGUGCGAAGCCGUAAGGCGAUGUAUACGGACUGACGCCUGCCCGGUGCUGGAACGUUAAGGGGACCGGUUAGUCACUCUUCGGGGUGGCGAAGCUGAGAACUUAAGCGCCAGUAAACGGCGGUGGUAACUAUAACCAUCCUAAGGUAGCGAAAUUCCUUGUCGGGUAAGUUCCGACCUGCACGAAUGGCGUAACGACUUCUCGACUGUCUCAACCAUAGGCCCGGUGAAAUUGCACUACGAGUAAAGAUGCUCGUUUCGCGCAGCAGGACGGAAAGACCCCGGGACCUUUACUACAGUUUGAUAUUGGUGUUCGGUUCGGCUUGUGUAGGAUAGCUGGGAGACUGUGAAGCUCGGACGCCAGUUCGGGUGGAGUCGUCGUUGAAAUACCAGUCUGGUCGUGCUGGAUGUCUAACCCGGGUCCGUGAUCCGGAUCGGGGACAGUGUCUGAUGGGUAGUUUAACUGGGGCGGUUGCCUCCCAAAGGGUAACGGAGGCGCCCAAAGGUUCCCUCAGCCUGGUUGGCAAUCAGGUGGUGAGUGUAAGUGCACAAGGGAGCUUGACUGUGAGACCGACGGGUCGAGCAGGGACGAAAGUCGGGACUAGUGAUCCGGCGGUGGCUUGUGGAAGCGCCGUCGCUCAACGGAUAAAAGGUACCCCGGGGAUAACAGGCUGAUCUUCCCCAAGAGUCCAUAUCGACGGGAUGGUUUGGCACCUCGAUGUCGGCUCGUCGCAUCCUGGGGCUGGAGUCGGUCCCAAGGGUUGGGCUGUUCGCCCAUUAAAGCGGUACGCGAGCUGGGUUUAGAACGUCGUGAGACAGUUCGGUCCCUAUCCGCUGCGCGCGCAGGAAUAUUGAGAAGGGCUGUCCCUAGUACGAGAGGACCGGGACGGACGAACCUCUGGUGUGCCAGUUGUUCUGCCAAGGGCAUGGCUGGUUGGCUACGUUCGGGAGGGAUAACCGCUGAAAGCAUCUAAGCGGGAAGCCUGCUUCGAGAUGAGUAUUCCCACCCACUUGAUGGGGUAAGGCUCCCAGUAGACGACUGGGUUGAUAGGCCAGAUAUGGAAGCCUGGUAACGGGUGGAGUUGACUGGUACUAAUAGGCCGAGGGCUUGUCCUC
Molecule: ribosomal RNA, 1509 nt
Filed under: Streptomyces caniscabiei
Lineage: Bacteria; Bacillati; Actinomycetota; Actinomycetes; Kitasatosporales; Streptomycetaceae
Description: partial 23S ribosomal RNA
Rfam family: Bacterial large subunit ribosomal RNA
Source: RNAcentral